Molecule: long non-coding RNA, 902 nt
Filed under: Mus musculus (house mouse)
Lineage: Eukaryota; Metazoa; Chordata; Mammalia; Rodentia; Muridae
Description: long non-coding RNA chr3:96632887-96633789
Source: RNAcentral
AAACUUAACGUUUUUUCAGAUGCUAUUGGCCCUUCUCUUCCUUUUGAUAAAUUGCUUGGGGUUUGAAUUGAAUUGGUUAAGAAUAUAUCUUAGUUGAGAUUUGCAGGGUUUAGGAUGCCUUGGUGGUUUCUGAGAAGGUAGAUUAAAUAAGUAUUGGUUUUGUGGAAGAUACGCCUGGUUCUCAGAUUUCUAGCUGUUGUAAGGUAUUUGGAAGAGUGAGUUGAGUAAGCAUGAGGUCCUGAGGGCUGGUAAACAGUAUCAGCCAGAGAACCAGUAGGUGAGCUGCCUGGAUAGGAAGGGUAUGGUCACGUAGUUGGGAAGAUGCUCUUCUGGCUUUACUCUGAGAAAUAAGAAUAGCUCAUAGGGAUUAGAGAUGUGGCUCAGUUGGUAGAAUGACUGCCUAGUAUGCACAGCCCCAGGCUUUAUAACAGGACCAAAUGGGUACGACACUCCUGCCUUUGAUCCUGGCACUUACUGGGGAGGUGAAGGCUAAAGAAUCAUAAGUUGAAGUCAUCCCCAGCUGCAUAGCCAGGUGGAGGAUUAGCCUAUGAGAUCUUGUCCUGGGUGAAAGGGGAUGGAAAGGGGGGAAACCUCAUCAAUUUACUGUGUGACCUUCUAACUCCCCUUCUUUAUACAGAACUUAACCAUGUACAGUAGAAACCCUCUUUAACAUACUAUGACUUUAAAACUUGAGCUUAAAGAAGUAAGCAAUUUCUUGGGGCUGGUGAGAUGGCUUAGCGGGUGGGUAAGAACCACCUCUUCCAGAGGUCCUAAGUCCAAAUCCAGCAACUACAUGGUAGCUCACAACCACCUGGAAUGAGAUCUGAUGCCCUCUUCUGGUGUGUCUAACGUCUGCUACAGUGUACUUACAUAUAAUAAUAAAUAAAUCUUUAAAAAAAGGC